Molecule: non-coding RNA, 279 nt
Organism: Pelobates cultripes (western spadefoot toad)
Lineage: Eukaryota; Metazoa; Chordata; Amphibia; Anura; Pelobatidae
Source: the annotation of a GenBank genome assembly
CAAAAAGAAAGCGGCUCGAUCCUCCUUUUCCUACAGAGCACCGCAAUUAUGGAACAACCUCCCGCACACUUUCAAAUCUUCCCAAAGCCUAAAGUCCUUUAAGAGAUCCCUCUCUACAUACCUCAAAACAGAAUGCACCUGUCAUGGUUAAUUAUAUAUUGCCUACCUGUUCUAUGUUACAUUUUGUAUAUAUUGUGUAUUAAUAUUGUUUUUGUAUUUUAAUGUACCCUAUUGUAUCAAUGCAAUGUUUUGUGGACCCAGGACAUAUUUGAAAACGAG